AAUACCGGAUACGACCAGUCACCGCAUGGUGUGCUGGUGGAAAGCUUUUGCGGUUUUGGAUGGACUCNCGGCCUAUCAGCUAGACGGUGGGGUAAUGGCUUACCGUGGCGAUGACGGGUAGCCGGCCUGAGAGGGUGACCGGCCACACUGGGACUGAGACACGGCCCAGACUCCUACGGGAGGCAGCAGUGGGGAAUAUUGCACAAUGGGCGAAAGCCUGAUGCAGCGACGCCGCGUGCGGGAUGACGGCCUUCGGGUUGUAAACCGCUUUCAGCAGGGAAGAAGCGCAAGUGACGGUACCUGCAGAAGAAGCGCCGGCUAACUACGUGCCAGCAGCCGCGGUAAUACGUAGGGCGCGAGCGUUAUCCGGAAUUAUUGGGCGUAAAGAGCUUGUAGGCGGUUUGUCGCGUCUGCUGUGAAAGCCCGGGGCUUAACCCCGGGUGUGCAGUGGG
RNAcentral lists this ribosomal RNA (452 nucleotides) under uncultured bacterium. RNAcentral's name for it is "bacterial SSU rRNA". It matches the Rfam family "Bacterial small subunit ribosomal RNA", at positions 165 to 630 of the family's 1533-position model. The record is from RNAcentral.